RNAcentral lists this ribosomal RNA (1249 nucleotides) under metagenome. Its description in RNAcentral is "SSU rRNA". It matches the Rfam family "Eukaryotic small subunit ribosomal RNA", at positions 489 to 1777 of the family's 1831-position model. The record is from RNAcentral.
GGCCUAUUAGGUCUCGUAAUUGGAAUGAGAACAAUUUAAAUACCUUAACGAGGAACAAUUAGAGGGCAAGUCUGGUGCCAGCAGCCGCGGUAAUUCCAGCUCUGAUAGUAUAUAUUAAAGUUGUUGCAGUUAAAAAGCUCGUAGUUGAAACUUGGGUGCGUAGGGGCGGUCUCUUUUAGAGUACUACCCUGAAACAUCUUUCUUUGGUGUAAACUCUUUAUUCACUUAAGGAGUGUAAACCAAACAUUUACUUUGAAAAAAUUAGAGUGUUCAAAGCAGGCCUUUGCUCGAAUAUAUUAGCAUGGAAUAAUAGAAUAGGACGUAUGGUUCUAUUUUGUUGGUUUCUAGGACCGUCGUAAUGAUUAAUAGGGACGGUCGGGGGCAUCAGUAUUCAGUUGUCAGAGGUGAAAUUCUUGGAUUUACUGAAGACUAACUACUGCGAAAGCAUUUGCCAAGGACGUUUUCAUUAAUCAAGAACGAAAGUUAGGGGAUCGAAGACGAUCAGAUACCGUCGUAGUCUUAACCGUAAACUAUGCCGACUAGGGAUCGGAGGGCGUUAUAAUAACCUCUCCGGCACCUUACGAGAAAUCAAAGUUUUUGGGUUCUGGGGGGAGUAUGGUUGCAAGGCUGAAACUUAAAGGAAUUGACGGAAGGGCACCACCAGGAGUGGAGCCUGCGGCUUAAUUUGACCCAACACGGGGAAACUCACCAGGUCCAGACACAAUAAGGAUUGACAGAUUGAGAGCUCUUUCAUGAUUUUGUGGGUGGUGGCGCAUGGCCGUUCUUAGUUGGUGGAGUGAUUUGUCUGCUUAAUUGCGAUAACGAACGAGACCUUAACCUGCUAAAUAGCUGUAACAAUAGAUUAUUGUUUUGACAGCUUCUUAGAGGGACUAUCGAUUUUCAAGUCGAUGGAAGUUUGAGGCAAUAACAGGUCUGUGAUGCCCUUAGACGUUCUGGGCCGCACGCGCGCUACACUGACGGAGCCAGCGAGUCUAACCUGUGCCGAGAGGUAUGGGUAAUCUUGUGAAACUCCGUCGUGCUGGGGAUAGAGCAUUGCAAUUAUUGCUCUUCAACGAGGAAUUCCUAGUAAGCGCAAGUCAUCAGCUUGCGUUGAUUACGUCCCUGCCCUUUGUACACACCGCCCGUCGCUACUACCGAUUGAAUGGCUUAGUGAGGCUUCCGGAUUGAUUAACUGGAGAGGGCAACUUUUCUGGUUGAACGAGAAGCUAGUCAAACUUGGUCAUUUAGA